Molecule: small nuclear RNA, 22 nt
Filed under: Arabidopsis thaliana (thale cress)
Lineage: Eukaryota; Viridiplantae; Streptophyta; Magnoliopsida; Brassicales; Brassicaceae
Description: snRNA_09983
Source: RNAcentral
AAGAUGAGCUCAACGAGAACAG